GAUGAACGCUGGCGGCGUGCCUAAUACAUGCAAGUCGAGCGAACAGACGAGGAGCUUGCUCCUCUGACGUUAGCGGCGGACGGGUGAGUAACACGUGGAUAACCUACCUAUAAGACUGGGAUAACUUCGGGAAACCGGAUCUAAUACCGGAUAAUAUAUUGAACCGCAUGGUUCAAUAGUGAAAGACGGUUUUGCUGUCACUUAUAGAUGGUUCCGCGCCGCAUUAGCUAGUUGGUAAGGUAACGGCUUACCAAGGCAACGAUGCGUAGCUGACCUGAGAGGGUGAUCGGCCACACUGGAACUGAGACACGGUCCAGACUCCUACGGGAGGCAGCAGUAGGGAAUCUUCCGCAAUGGGCGAAAGCCUGACGGAGCAACGCCGCGUGAGUGAUGAAGGUCUUCGGAUCGUAAAACUCUGUUAUUAGGGAAGAACAAAUGUGUAAGUAACUAUGCACGUCUUGACGGUACCUAAUCAGAAAGCCACGGCUAACUACGUG
Molecule: ribosomal RNA, 497 nt
Filed under: uncultured bacterium
Lineage: Bacteria
Description: partial 16S ribosomal RNA
Rfam family: Bacterial small subunit ribosomal RNA
Source: RNAcentral